CAACAUGAGCAUCCCUGACUACGUGCAGUGUGCUGAGGACCACCAGACUUUCCCCGUGGUGGUCGAACACGUGGGGAUCAUCUCAGAGGAGAAUUUCUUUUGCAUCUAUAAGUGAAUCACCUUGGUGAGUCAGAUCAGUCCGUGCAGCUCCCAGUGGGCAAACUGUAUCCACUACAGUCACCACUAUGCGCCCAAGAAUGGGUGGAGCGACUUCCAGACCCACCGCAAGGUCUUGGGCCUUGUCAUCAUUACUGACUGCCUCUCGGCCAAGGCUUCGAAAAGCUCCACGUGCAGAGGAGCUGUAUGGCACCACGCUCUAUGACUCUCAGCUCUUUGACUUUCUGCUGCAUGGGGAGGUGGCCGAGCAGCCGCGCACCGAAGUGGCCUUCAAUUUACGAGGACUGCAGGGAGGUGGAGAAGAGGAUCGACGACUUCACUGAGUCACUCUUCAUCUUGCCCAAGUCCAAGUGGCUGGACGGUGCAUCCGACAAUUCUGGGGACAAGAUCCUCCUUCUCUGCAUCCCAUUUGAGAAGGAGGACAUCAUGGGACUGGACACAGAAAGCAGUACGUUUUGGUUACUGAGUCCCUCGAAUUCCCAUAUGAAUAGUAGCAGCAGCUAGUCAGUUACUGCAGAGGAGCCCGCUGGGAUUGUGAUCGAGACCACGUUGAGUAUACAGAUCGCUCUGGGGAGCACUGCCAUCCCAAGAGCGUUGUCAUGUGAUCCAGGAAUGUGCGUGGUGUGUCUGUACAGAGUUCUAUGUAUAGUUGGUUACAUUCUAUACCUGGAAAUUUCUCCAAAACUGCUUCCCACGUGCCCUCACCUCCAGUGGCAUCCAUCCAGACACCAGCACUGACACUGGCUGUGCUCAGAACUGCCUCAGCCCUGAAGACACAACUGACAAAUAGAAGGGGGCUACGCCCUAUGACAGCAGGUGCUCUCACUUUGUGGGUCCUUAUGUAACUGCACGAUGUUAAUCAGGA
Camelus dromedarius (Arabian camel) is the source of this 982-nucleotide long non-coding RNA. RefSeq lists it as uncharacterized. Lineage: Eukaryota; Metazoa; Chordata; Mammalia; Artiodactyla; Camelidae. The record is from RefSeq and is a predicted model, not a curated record. The transcript is spliced from 4 exons.